GCCUCCACCCACGCCGGCGUCGGCGGGCGUAUUUCGCCUCACAGUAGGUCGCCGCGACCCGUUGCUUUUGGGGACGUCGAAGGCCCGGACGGAUUGGUACCCUACCGGCUGGGGAUGCGGCUUCGGCUUCUCCUCUUGUCCGGUGGGCGAAACCGCCGGUGUCCUGGCUGCCCUGCGACGGUCGUAGAGACGAGCCCUCCCCUUCGGGGGGGCGGCUCUCGCGGCGUGCAAAAGGUCGGUGAUCCACCCGACCCGUCUUGAAACACGGACCAAGGAGUCUAACAUGUGUGCGAGUCAGUGGGCGCACUAAACCCAGAGGCGUAAUGAAAGUGACACGGGUUCGGCUGUCGCCUCGUGUGGCAGCCGGACUCAGGGCCGAUCCCUCACCGGUUGCCCUCGCCUCUCUCCCGCGUCUCGGUAAGCCGGGUGAGCUAUUUUCCCCGGCCGCUGCUGCGGGGCGCGGGGGGAGGCGGGGUGCGAUGGUGUCCGUAAAAAAGAGCCUGCUGUUGCAGGGGGGCGCAGGCCCGGGACUUGCCAGGACGCCGCGAGACUGUCACUUUGCUGUGAGGCUCUCGGGCCGAUCAGCGGGUCAUGCGUGCAGUCGGCAAGUACCAUGAGCAGACAUGUUGGGACCCGAAAGAUGGUGAACUAUGCCUGGCCAGGAUGAAGCCAGAGGAAACUCUGGUGGAGGUCCGUAGCGAUUCUGACGUGCAAAUCG
RNAcentral lists this ribosomal RNA (718 nucleotides) under Creaserinus limulus. Its description in RNAcentral is "partial 28S large subunit ribosomal RNA". The stretch from base 269 to 718 matches the Rfam family "Eukaryotic large subunit ribosomal RNA", at positions 665 to 900 of the family's 3401-position model. Lineage: Eukaryota; Metazoa; Arthropoda; Malacostraca; Decapoda; Cambaridae. The record is from RNAcentral.